RNAcentral lists this ribosomal RNA (570 nucleotides) under uncultured bacterium. RNAcentral describes it as "partial 16S ribosomal RNA". It matches the Rfam family "Bacterial small subunit ribosomal RNA", at positions 355 to 912 of the family's 1533-position model. The record is from RNAcentral.
UGGGGAAUAUUGCACAAUGGGCGCAAGCCUGAUGCAGCCAUGCCGCGUGUGUGAAGAAGGCCUUCGGGUUGUAAAGCACUUUCAGCGAGGAGGAAGGUGGUGAGCUUAAUACGCUCAUCAAUUGACGUUACUCGCAGAAGAAGCACCGGCUAACUCCGUGCCAGCAGCCGCGGUAAUACGGAGGGUGCAAGCGUUAAUCGGAAUUACUGGGCGUAAAGCGCACGCAGGCGGUUUGUUAAGUCAGAUGUGAAAUCCCCGGGCUCAACCUGGGAACUGCAUUUGAAACUGGCAAGCUAGAGUCUCGUAGAGGGGGGUAGAAUUCCAGGUGUAGCGGUGAAAUGCGUAGAGAUCUGGAGGAAUACCGGUGGCGAAGGCGGCCCCCUGGACGAAGACUGACGCUCAGGUGCGAAAGCGUGGGGCAGCAGACAGGAUUAGAUACCCUGGUAGGUCCACGCUGUAAAACGAUGUCGAUUUUGGAGGUUGUGCCCCUUGAGGCGUGGCUUCCGGAGCUAACGCGUUAAAUCGACCGCCUGGGGAGUACGGCCGCAAGGUUAAAACUUAAAGGAAUUG